Molecule: ribosomal RNA, 4188 nt
Filed under: Triticum aestivum (bread wheat)
Lineage: Eukaryota; Viridiplantae; Streptophyta; Magnoliopsida; Poales; Poaceae
Description: partial small subunit ribosomal RNA
Source: RNAcentral
AUGGAGGUGGCUCUCGGCUCGGCGGCCUCGCUCCUCGGCAAGCUGUUGAGGACGCUGUCCGACAGCCUGGUGGCGGUUUACGUGGACAGCCUUCAGCUCGGCCACAACUCGGAGCAGAUCAAGGACAAGCUGCUGCACGCGCAAGGCCUCCUGCACAACGCCCAGGGGCAGGGGAGCCAUAACCCUGGCCUGCAGGGGUUGCUGGAGAAGCUGAGCAGGGACGCCGACCAGGCAGAGGACCUGCUGGAUGUGCUCCACUACUUCCAGAUCCAUGACAGGCUCCACGGCACCAACUACGCCGCCAUCCAAGAGGCCGGCGUUGAUGGCCUCAGGCAUCAAGCUCUCCAUGCCGGUACUGCUCUUCGCCACACCUUGCUCCACUUCUUUUCUUGCUCGCCUACACCCAAGACCAAGAGGGAUGGUAGUGAUGAUGAUGCUGCUCUUGUCGGCCGCGUCACCAAAAAAUCCAAAACCAACUCUGCUAGUGCUAGUGCUAGUGCUGAUGGUGAUGAUAUGCUGCAUUUCGACAGAGUGUCCAUGUCCAGCAAGAUCAAGUCCCUGUUACAGGGCAUGCAGUCCCACUGUGAUUCCGUCUCCAAUUUGCUCCGCAUCGGCAUCGGCAGUAUCCCAAGCAACAGCACGGCAUUGUCAGUCGUCCUACAUCGGCCUCAGACUGCUUCCAUGAUUAUACAAGACACAUUGUAUGGCAGGAGAGACGUUUUUGAGGAAACUGUCAAUCGUAUCACCACUCUUAUAGUUGGUACCACACAGACUGAGACUGUUUCUGUUCUUCCUAUAGUUGGUCCAGGGGGUAUUGGAAAGACAACUUUCACCACUCACCUGUACAAUGACGCAAGGACUCAAGACCACUUCCAAGUCAGGGUGUGGGUAUGUGUAUCCACUGAUUUCAAUGUGCUUAAGCUCACCAGGGAGAUCCUUGGCUGCAUACCUGCAACUGAAGGAGCAGGAAGCAGCGGUGUUGCAAAUGAAACAGCCAAUUUAGACCAGCUUCAGAAAUCCAUAGCAGAACGUCUCAAGUCCAAGAGGUUUCUAAUUGUCUUGGAUGAUAUAUGGAAAUGUGACAGUCAGGAUCAGUGGAAAACCCUGGUAGCUCCGUUCACAAAGGGGGAAAGCAAAGGAAGUAUGCUACUUGUCACAACUCGAUUCCCAAAGGUAGCAGACAUGGUGAAAACAGUUGAUCCACUAGAGCUGCGAGGUUUGGAGUCUAAUGACUUCUUCACAUUCUUUGAAGCAUGUAUAUUUGGUGAAGAAGAAAAGCCCGAGCAUUACCAAGAUGAGUUUGCUGGUAUUGCACGAAAAAUUGCAAACAAGCUAAAGGGUUCCCCGCUCGCAGCCAAAACAGUUGGUAGACUAUUGCAGAAGGACCUUUCUGAGGAACAUUGGCAUGGAGUUCUUGAAAAGCAUCAGUGGCUAAAGCAGCAAGAAAAUGAUGAUAUCAUGCAAUCUUUAAAGAUUAGCUACGAUUACCUCCCAUUUGAUCUGAAGAAAUGCUUUUCCUAUUGUGGCCUUUUCCCUGAAGAUCAUAGGUUUACUUCUUCAGAAAUCAAUCGUUUCUGGGUGGCAACAGGCAUCAUAGACUCUGAUCAUCAAGCCGAUAGGAAUCACAUGGAAGAACUAGUGGACAAUGGUUUUCUCAUGAAGCAAUUCGAUUGGCGUGAUCGAUGGUGGUAUGUAAUGCAUGAUUUAAUGCAUGAGCUAUCUAAGAGUGUUUCUGCACAAGAAUGCCACAAUAUAAGUGGCUUUGAUUUCAGAGCUGAUGCCAUCUCGCAAUCUGUUCGGCACUUAUCUAUCAACAUAGAAGACAGAUAUGAUGCAAAUUUUGAGAAAGAAAUGUGUAAACUAAGGGAGAGGAUAGACAUUGCUAAUCUGCGGACUUUGAUGAUUUGUAGAAGAUAUGAAGAAGAAAGAAUUGCCAAGAUUUUGAAAGAUAGCUUCAAGGAAAUAAAUAGUCUGCGUGUCCUAUUUAUAGCAGUGAGUACUCCAGAAUCUUUUCCAUAUAGGUUUUCAAAACUGAUCCACCUCCAGUACCUCAAAAUUAGUUCAUCUUACAAAGACGGUGAAAUCAGUUUACCUAGUACACUAUCAAGAUUUUAUCACUUGAAAUUCCUGGACCUAGAUGAUUGGAGUGGUCGUACUGAUUUACCUGAAGACUUCAGCCACCUUGAGAAUUUACAUGAUUUCCGUGCUGGAAGUGAACUCCACUCCAAUAUUCGCAAUGUUGGAAAGAUGAAGCAUCUGCAGGAGCUAAAAGUAUUCCAUGUCAGGAAGGAGAGCAUGGGAUUUGAACUGACAGAACUUGGGGCAUUGCCAGAGCUUGAAGGAGGACUGAUUAUACGUGGUCUUGAACACGUGGCAACCAAGGAGGAAGCUACUGCAGCCAAACUGAUGUUGAAAAGGAACCUGAAGGAGUUGGAAUUACUCUGGGGCAGAGAUGGACCAACUACAGAUGAUGAUAUUCUUGAUGCUCUUCAACCACACUCUAAUCUUAGAGUACUUACAAUUGCAAAUCAUGGUGGUAUGAUUGGUCCUAGCUGGUUGUGUCUUGACAUCUGGUUGACAAGUCUAGAGACUCUCACUCUAGAAGGCGUAUCUUGGAGCAACCUCCCACCCUUUGCGAAGCUACCAAAUCUCAAGGGCCUCUAUUUGAAUAAAAUUUCUGGAAUGCAUCAGUUUGGGCCUCUAUGUGGUGGCGCUCCAGGGAAAUGUUUUAUGCGCUUGAAGGAAGUUGGGUUUUAUGAGAUGCCAGAACUUGCUGAAUGGGUUGUGCUACCUAAUUGCCAUUCCUUUCCAAGUCUUGAAGAAAUCGAAUGCGUCGAUUGUCCCAACCUCCGUGUGAUGCCCUUCUCUGAGGUAUCUUGCACCAAUUUGCGCAGACUUUUUGUUUCUGGGUGCCCCAAGAUGUCUCUGCCGUCCAUGCCUCACACAUCCACACUGACAGAUUUGGUUGUUAAAAGAGAUAGAACAUAUAAUUCAGAAACGUUGUUGUCUUAUGAUGGAAAGGAAUUGGAAUUGGUUGUUAGUGGGUAUGGCGGUGCUUUGGCCUACCACAAUCUGGAUAAAGUAGAAGAUAUGGAUAUUGAAAAUGCAUCGCACAUAUCAUUGACAGACAUCGAAAAGUUUAAAUCCCUAACAAAAGUAACUGUCGGAAGAUGCGACGGUUUAUUCCCUGAAGAGCUGGAUGGCGGUUUUGUCUUCCCUUCAGUUGAGAGUCUCCAAUUACAUGUAUCUCAUCUUGCCAGCAAAUCAUCAUCUUCAAAAGUGUUAAACUGUUUCCCAGCUCUUUCUGUGUUGCACAUAGAUCACUGUGAGGAGGAAUGUGUAAUGCAGUUCCCAUCAUCCAGCUCACUGCAGAAAGUUAACUUCUCAUACUGCAAGGGCCUGAUUCUUGUGCCUCUGGAGAAGGAGAAUGGAGGAGGAACUCAGGAGGACAACUCAUUGCUCCAAUCAUUAACAAUAAAGGGAUGUGGCAAACUCUUCUCCCGUUGGCCCAUGGGAAUGGGAGAAUCAGAGACCAUUUGCCCUUUCCCUGCUUCCCUGAAGAAACUUGAUGUCGAAGGAGAGCCAAGCAUGAAGUCAAUGGCUCUGCUCUCAAACCUCACGUCUCUCACCACUCUAAAGCUAGAGGAGUGCGGUAAUUUAACAGUGGAUGGAUUCAAUCCUCUCAUCGCAGUCAACCUCAGAGAACUGCAAGUGUGUGGGUGCAACACCUUAGCAGCAGAUAUGCUCUCAGAGGUGGCCUCUCACUCUCAGAGGGCCAAAUUAUUAUUGCCUGUAGGUUACAUCAGUGUGGAUAACAUCUCUGGAUUGCUUGUUGCUCCUAUUUGCAGCCUCCUCGCCCCGGCCCUCCACACACUUGAAUUCAAGUAUGCUGAUGAGACCAUGGAAAGGUUGACGGAAGAGCAAGAGAAAGCGCUGCAGCUCCUCACCUCCCUCCAGACACUAAGUUUUUACUCCUGCAAGGGUCUGCAGUCCCUUCCUCAAGGGUUACAUCGCCUUUCUUCUCUCAAGGAGUUACAUGUCAUGUACUGUCCAAAUAUCCGAUCGAUGCCCAAGGAGGGCCUCCCGGUUUCGCUGAGAAAACUAUAUAUGAGUGAUCGCAGCGCUGAGAUAGAUGAACAAAUUGAGAAAAUCAAAAGAACCAACCCAGAUUUAUCCGUCGAAACAUAA